Long non-coding RNA from Gallus gallus (chicken), 4012 nucleotides. Lineage: Eukaryota; Metazoa; Chordata; Aves; Galliformes; Phasianidae. The record is from Ensembl.
GGGCCUGCUGUGCACAUACACAGAUAGACAUGUAGAUACCUUGUCACUGCUCUUCUGCCUCCACUUUUCUGGGGGACUGGGAGUUUUGUCUUCACACAGGAACUUCGCCACAGCAGCAUUUUCCAGUCCGUGGCACCUUGAUCCCAGGAUGUGCUCCGCACCGUGCUUCUAGGGCAUCAACAUCUGCUGUUGCACAAAGGCCCCUGAAAGGAAAAGCACCCUCGCACGUUUGCACUGCUCCCACACUCCCCAGAACUGUCUCUCAAAUCUCCCGUUAACACAGACUCUCUCAGACUCUUGACUGCAGCCCAAUAGCACAGCAUCCCCUCUCUCACUUCAUGAGCCAAGAGGCCAUAGUUGGUGUCCCUUUUUAAGCUUCACAGACCCAAUCAGGCAAGAACUUCGGUUUGCCCAUCCUGCAGCCAGGAAUGCUCCAACCUGAGGGGGGAGUGGCCGUGAGAGCAACGUCUCUGUGCACGUGCAGCUCGUUCCUCCCCUCUGACAGGGGCAGAAGGAGUGAGGCAACAGACAAAAGCAGAAAGCGUCUGCAUAUCCCUCGUGGCUCUUAUUUCCUGCCUUACGCUGGGAAACGAGCUGAGCCGCUGGGCCUCUCCGUUAUGCUUAGCUCUGCAGCUCGGACAUCAUUACACUCAGCUGUUCCUGGGCAUAAUGCUCCACACAACGACCCUGCAGAGCCCAAAGGCCUGCCUGCCUGCCUGCUGUCACUCACCUGGAGGUUGCAGGGUGCUGUGCCUCCUGGCUGGACCUGCUGCUGCUAGCUGUCACUUGCAAGACACUGAGAGUCCACCUGCUUGGAACUGCAGGCAACAAACACAAACGAGAAAGAAGGAAGAAAGGAUUCUUGGAUUGCACAGGCUUCAUUAAAACACGUUCUGCUGUGGAGCACAGCUGCAAGCAUUUCACCUGGGCAAAAAAGGGGUGGAGCCUGGCUCCAGCCCUCCCCACCCUCAUUUCAGGGCUGCCUGUCUAAGGGGAAGAAUCUCUACUGGGAGAUCUGCUCUGUGCUAAUACUUUCUGAGUCCUGUUCUUCAGAAAGGGCUCUUUGUUUACUAGCUUGAGUCCUUCCCCAUACUUAGAAAAAUUAAAACACAGGAAAGCAGCUGGAUCACCUACUGCCUUUCACUACAGUUACCAUUUCAGAUUAUGGAUCAAGGUUGAACUGUACAGAGGGAGUGCAGCCACAAGGCUCUGGCUGUGCCGGGCCUCCCACCAGCCCGGGCCCCAAAGCAGCCCCAGCUGUGCCUGGUCCUCCUCCAUCCUGUGCCCCAAGUCCUUGGCUGUGCCUGGGCCCCCUUUGGACUGAGCCCCGAGUAGGCCCCAACUGCGCUAGGUCCUCCUCCAGCCUGGGCCCCAAAGCAGCCCCAUCUGAGCCUGGUCCUCUUCGAUACCGGGCCCCAAAGCAGCCCAAAUCGUGCCAGGCCGUCGACCGGCCUGGGCCCCAAAGCAGCCCCAACUGUUGCUGGUCCUUCUCCAUCCUGUGCCCCAAGGCCCUGGCUGGGCUUGAGCCCCCUUUUGUCUGGGCCCAGACGAGGCCUCAACUGUGCCAGGCCGUCCUCCAUCCUGGGCCCCAAAGCAGCCCCAACUGUGCCAGGCCCCCUUCCAGCUCAGCCCCCAAAGCAGCCCCAACUGUGCCAGGUCCAUCUCCAUCCUGGGCCCCAAAGCAGCCCCAACUGUUGCUGGUCCAUCUCCAUCCUGGGCCCCAAAGCAGCCCCAACUGUUGCUGGUCCUCCUCUAUCCUAAGCCCCACGGCUAGGGUUGUGCCGGGGCCCCCUGUGCUCUGGGCCAAGAGGAGGCCCCAACUGUGCCAGGCACCCCUCCAGUCCAGGCCCCAAAGCAGCCCCACCUGUGCCAGGCCCAUCUCCAUCCUGGGCCCCAAAGCAGCCCCAACUGUUCCUGGUCCUCCUCCAUCCUAGGCCCCAAGGCCCGAACUGUUCUUGGGCCCCUUUUUGUCUGGGCCCAGAGGAGGCCUCAACUGUGCCAGGCCCCCCUCCAGCCUAGGCACCAAAGCAGCCCCAACUGUGCCUGGUCCUGUUUCAUCCUGGGCCCCAAGGCCCUGGCUGUGCCUGGGCCCUUUUUGGUCUGGGCCAAGAGCAGGCCUCAACUGUGCCUGGUCCUUCUCUAGCCCAGGCCCCAAAGCAGCCCCAACUGUGCUAUGCCCCCCUCCAGCUCAGGCACCAAAGCAGCCCCAACUGUGCCUGGUCCUCCUCCAUCCUGGGCCCCAACACAGCCCCAACUGAGCCUGGUUCUCCUCCAUCCUGGGCCCCGAGGCUCUACCUGUGCCUGGGUCCCCUUCCUUCUGGGCCCACACCAGGCCUCAACUGUGCCAGGCCCCCUCCAGCCUGGGCCCCGAGGCCACCACUGUGCUGCACCACCCUCCGGCACAGGCCCUGCCCCAAGCCCUGCCCCCUGUGGACAGCUCUGCUCUUUGCCUGCUUGUUUUUUUUCCUCUCUUCACUCUGCCAGCUUAACUGGAUGAGUUUCAAUGGGGCCGAGCGUCGGGUCCUGCAUUUUGGUCACAACAACCCCAGGCGUCCCCCCAGUCCUCCUUGGCGAGGAGUGGCUGGAAAGCUGCCUGAUCCCUGAAAGGGACCUUGGUGUGCUGAUGGACAGGUGGCUGAAGAUGAGCCAGCAGUGUGCCCAGGUGGCCAAGAAGGCCAAUGGCAUAACCACAAUUCCUGGCUCAGGAAUGGUGUGGUGAGCAGGACUAAGGAAGUCAUCCUGCCCCUGGACUCGGCACUGGCGAGGCCUCACCUCGAGUCCAGUGUUCAGUUUUGGGCACCUCAGCACAGAAGGGCUGUUGAGGUGCUGAAGCAGGUUGAAAGAAGGGCAACAAGGCUGGGGAAGGCCUUGGACAAUAUGCCCUCUGAGGAGUGAGUGAAGGAACUGGGGCUGUUUAGCGUGGGGAAAAGGAGGCUGAGGGGAGACCUGAUGGGCUCCCUAUUCCACCCAGGGAGCUGGUUCAGUCACCAUCCCUGAAUGUGUUGAAAACCAGGUGGUGCUCGGAGACAUGAUUGAGCAAGGGGUUGUUAGAGUUAGGCUGGUAUGGUUAGGUUGUGCUUAGACUGGAGGAUCUUUAAGGUCUUUGUGGCGACAAAAACUCCAACCAUCUCAAGCCUGGGGGAAAGGGGCUGACCCCAACGGUCACGCAACCCCCCCCCCUGGGGGGAGGGGCUCCCCUAACUGCCACUCUCCAGCUGUCAUGGCAGGUAAGGCAGCAGGCUUCCCCUGCCCCCAUGCUUCAGCUGGCCCCAGCGCUCCAGAUCCCACCCCUGUGCCCCAGAUCUCACCCCAGCAAACCAGAUCUCACCCCAGCAAACCAGAUCCCACCCCUGUAACCCCGAUAUCACCCCCGUAACCCAGAGCUCAUCCCAGAUCUCACCCCAGCGCCCCAGAUCCCACCCCUGUAACCCUGAUAUCACCCCCGUAACCCAGAGCUCACCCCAGUGUCCCAGAUCCCACCCCAGCGUCCCAGAACUCACCUCAGCGCCCCAGAUCCCAGCCCUGUAAGCCCGAUCUCAGCCCUGUGCCCCAGAUCCCACCCCAGCGCCCCAGAGCCCACCCCAGAGCCUGCUUUGGCCUUUCCCCACGGAGAGAAUCCCUCGAGGAGCGCUGACGGUGCCUCUGACACCCGACGCCAUUUUCCCUGAAGCGACUGUGCCGCCACCGGACCCCGCCUGGAUGCAGCCCACCAUCCGCGGACCGAUGCCGGUACCACCCCAAGCCCUCCCUGUCCCCACUGCCACCUACCUGGCGCCUCAGACCUCUGUCUGGCCUGGGGUACCAGGUGUCUGGGGACAGGCAGCGCAGCUCCCCCCUGGGGGGCUGCCCCCAACUGGGGCUCAACUGCCACCUGGGGGCCUGCCCCCAACUGUGGGGCUGCACUUACCGGUGCUGCAGCUGCUACCUGGGGGGCUGCACCCAGCUAUGGCUCCCCCCACUGCCCCUGCUCACUGCUGGGGACAUCCCCUGCUGGCAGGGACGCUGCUGCCCC